RNAcentral lists this ribosomal RNA (460 nucleotides) under uncultured bacterium. Its description in RNAcentral is "partial 16S ribosomal RNA". It matches the Rfam family "Bacterial small subunit ribosomal RNA", at positions 338 to 795 of the family's 1533-position model. The record is from RNAcentral.
CCUACGGGAUGCAGCAGUGAGGAAUAUUGGUCAAUGGACGCAAGUCUGAACCAGCCAUGCCGCGUGCAGGAAGACGGCUCUAUGAGUUGUAAACUGCUUUUGUACGGGGGUAAACGCAGAUACGCGUAUCUGUCUGAAAGUAUCGUACGAAUAAGGAUCGGCUAACUCCGUGCCAGCAGCCGCGGUAAUACGGAGGAUUCAAGCGUUAUCCGGAUUUAUUGGGUUUAAAGGGUGCGUAGGCGGUCGGAUAAGUUAGAGGUGAAAUCCCGGGGCUCAACUUCGGAAUUGCCUCUGAAACUGUCCGGCUAGAGAGUAGGUGCGGUAGGCGGAAUGUAUGGUGUAGCGGUGAAAUGCUUAGAGAUCAUACAGAACUCCGAUUGCGAAGGCAGCUUACCAAGUCACUUCUGACGCUGAGGCACGAAAGCGUGGGGAGCAAACAGGAUUAGAUACCCUAGUAGUC